Molecule: transfer RNA, 93 nt
Filed under: Macromonas bipunctata
Lineage: Bacteria; Pseudomonadati; Pseudomonadota; Betaproteobacteria; Burkholderiales; Comamonadaceae
Also listed under: 4 other names
Description: tRNA-Ser
Rfam family: tRNA
About the family: Transfer RNA (tRNA) molecules are approximately 80 nucleotides in length. Their secondary structure includes four short double-helical elements and three loops (D, anti-codon, and T loops).
Source: RNAcentral
GGAGCGAUGACCGAGUGGCCGAAGGUGCUCCCCUGCUAAGGGAGUAUGGGAUGUAGAGUCUCAUCGAGGGUUCGAAUCCCUCUCGCUCCGCCA